UAGGUUCUGAUUAUCUUCAUAUUUUAUUCAAUAUGUGUUUAGUUUUUAAUUCUUCAGAAAAUGAAGAAGAUUUCUUUUUGAAGUAGCUUGUUAAUCCAAAUCAAUUUGGAAAAGAUUCUAUUCAAAUAAGAACAUUUUAUUUUAUUGGAUUUGCAUUGAAGAAUAGAUUAAGGUUUGAUUUGAUUGGAUUUGCUUUGAAGAAAAUGUGUAUUUGAAUAUGCCUUGAAGGAAGACUUGUUUCAAAUUUAGUUUAUUCAAGAUUAUGAUGAAAUUGGAUAUAC
RNAcentral lists this long non-coding RNA (281 nucleotides) under Lathyrus oleraceus (garden pea). RNAcentral describes it as "Pisum sativum (pea) long non-coding RNA (PSAT_LNC032831)". The record is from RNAcentral. Lineage: Eukaryota; Viridiplantae; Streptophyta; Magnoliopsida; Fabales; Fabaceae.